UUCUUUGGAGCCCCUUCAAGGCCAAACUAUGCAAAUUUAUCACAUCUGGUUGCAUUAUUUACAUCAAAUGGCAUCAUAAAUUUUAUAGGCAUUAUAAACUCCGUUUCGGUAUGGCCUGAUGCAGCCCCUUUCUUUGAAGGCAGCAUGAAAUGCCAGGGAAGAAGAUGUUUCAACUCCUAAUGAGGAUCAGGAUACACAGAGAGAAUACGGUUCCUGCCUUAUGAUUAGUGAAGCUGACCUCUGAAGUCCUCACCCUCCCAGAAAAAUGAAUUUCCUGUGACCUGGGAUCCUGAGAACAUUGGACUCUUGGAAAGAGAGAAGCAUGAAGACUUCUAGAAUCUGGAAUGGUAGAAAAUCCCUCCACUAGAACUCCUACAAAGAGGGAGACCCAUGUAUACCAAGAGAAAUUCUAUUCUUUCUUAUCUUUGUUAUAUACCCAAGACCCACCUCGGACUCCAGGGACACAAAUUUGGUCUUCUUCAGAUUGGGUGACCAAAACGUAAAGUUUAUUACCGUGGUCAACAGAGAUCCAGAAGCAGAUGAUCAUCCUUCUGAAGAAUCAUCAGAAGUUCUGCUCAGACACUCAAGUGGAACUUCCAGAUGGUUGCCCUGUCUAAGAUUUUAUUUAUUUGUCAGAGAGAGAGAGAAUGAGCAGGGGGAGCAGCAGGCGGAGAAGCAGGCUUCCUGCGGAGCAGGGAGACCGAUGUGGGACUCGAUCUCAGGACCCUAGGAUCAUGACCUGAGCCGAAGCCAGAUGCUUAACCGACUGAGCCACCCAGGCAUCCCAGCAUGUUUGUUUUUGUAAUAAACUGCCAAAUUGUCUUCCAAAGUGGCUGUACCAUUAUGCAUUCUCACCAGCAAUGAAUGAAAGUCCCUGUGGCUCCACAUCCUCACCAGCACUUGGUGCGUCAGGAUUCCAGAUUGUGGCCAUUUUAAUAGACGUGUAGUGGUAUUUCUUUGUUGUUUUAAUUUGUAUUUCCCUCUUGACCAUCUGAGGUGGAGCAUCUUUUCAUAUACUUAUUUGCUGUCUAUAUAUCUUAUUUGGUGAGGUGUCUGCUAAAGUCUUUAACUCAUUUUUUUUGUUGGGUUGUUUGUUUUCCUACUUUGGAGCUUUAAGAGUUCUUUGUACAAAGGUGUCUAUAUUUUUUCUAUUAUUUCCUUUCCAUCAUGUUAUCUGUAAAAUUUAAGAUAUAUUAUUUUCCAGGAUGGGCUUAGAUGGAUGAUGGGUAUUAAGGAGGGCACUUGAUAUGAUGAGCACUGGUGUUGUAUGUAAGUGAUGAAUCACUGAAUUCUACUCCAGAAACCAACA
This is a long non-coding RNA of Mirounga angustirostris (Northern elephant seal), 1309 nucleotides long. RefSeq lists it as uncharacterized. NCBI's taxonomy places the organism in Eukaryota, Metazoa, Chordata, Mammalia, Carnivora, Phocidae. The record is from RefSeq and is a predicted model, not a curated record. The transcript has 6 exons.